RNAcentral lists this ribosomal RNA (250 nucleotides) under Thraustochytriidae sp. Its description in RNAcentral is "Thraustochytriaceae sp. partial small subunit ribosomal RNA". It matches the Rfam family "Eukaryotic small subunit ribosomal RNA", at positions 1377 to 1610 of the family's 1831-position model. The record is from RNAcentral. Lineage: Eukaryota; Bigyra; Thraustochytrida; Thraustochytriidae.
UGCGUGGUAUGGCAACAUAGUGCGUUUUUACUUCUUAGAGGGACAUGUCCGGUUUACGGGCAGGAAGUUCGAGGCAAUAACAGGUCUGUGAUGCCCUUAGAUGUUCUGGGCCGCACGCGCGCUACACUGACGACUUCAACAAGUUUUUUGGCAUUGCCAAAUUUCCUUGGCCGGAAGGUCUGGGUAAUCUUUUAAAAGGUCGUCGUGAUGGGGCUAGAUUCUUGCAAUUAUUAAUCUCCAACGAGGAACC